UAAUACGGAGGGUGCUAGCGUUAUUCGGAAUUACUGGGCGUAAAGCGCGUGCAGGCGGGAAGGCAAGUCUGAUGUGAAAGCCCGGGGCUUAACCUCGGAAGUGCAUUGGAAACUGCUUUUCUUGAGUACUGGAGAGGAAGGGGGAAUUCCCGGCGUAGAGGUGAAAUUCGUAGAGAUCGGGAGGAAUACCAGUGGCGAAGGCGCCCUUCUGGACGGUUACUGACGCUGAGACGCGAAAGCGUGGGGAGCAAACAGG
This 256-nucleotide ribosomal RNA is filed under the name uncultured archaeon. RNAcentral's name for it is "partial 16S ribosomal RNA". It matches the Rfam family "Bacterial small subunit ribosomal RNA", at positions 521 to 776 of the family's 1533-position model. The record is from RNAcentral.